This 464-nucleotide ribosomal RNA is filed under the name Vreelandella stevensii. RNAcentral describes it as "partial 16S ribosomal RNA". It matches the Rfam family "Bacterial small subunit ribosomal RNA", at positions 338 to 795 of the family's 1533-position model. The record is from RNAcentral. Lineage: Bacteria; Pseudomonadati; Pseudomonadota; Gammaproteobacteria; Oceanospirillales; Halomonadaceae.
CCUACGGGGGCUGCAGUGGGGAAUAUUGGACAAUGGGCGAAAGCCUGAUCCAGCCAUGCCGCGUGUGUGAAGAAGGCCUUCGGGUUGUAAAGCACUUUCAGUGGGGAAGAAAGCCUUGGGGCUAAUACCCUCGAGGAAGGACAUCACCCACAGAAGAAGCACCGGCUAACUCCGUGCCAGCAGCCGCGGUAAUACGGAGGGUGCGAGCGUUAAUCGGCAUUACUGGGCGUAAAGCGCGCGUAGGCGGUCUGAUAAGCCGGUUGUGAAAGCCCCGGGCUCAACCUGGGAACGGCAUCCGGAACUGUCAGGCUAGAGUGCAGGAGAGGAAGGUAGAAUUCCCGGUGUAGCGGUGAAAUGCGUAGAGAUCGGGAGGAAUACCAGUGGCGAAGGCGGCCUUCUGGACUGACACUGACGCUGAGGUGCGAAAGCGUGGGUAGCAAACAGGAUUAGAUACCCGAGUAGUC